UUUAAACUGUGUGGCAGGUUCUUGCGUGGAAAUUGGCGACCGGAGCCGCCAGGUACCUCCUCCCGGCGGCGGGACUGCCGCGCCCGGGCCCCCAGCGCCCGCUGACAGGAUGCGUGCGGCGGGGCGCCCGGCCUCGGCCACCGGCAACUAGGAGGGCAGGCGGCAGGCUGCUCCGGGACGGCGGCGGGACCCGGCCCGCGGGCGGGCCAGCGGCACAGCGGAAUUCAAGAUCACACAACCAGCAGCUUCAGUGGAGAAAAACUAUUUUGCUGGCAACUCUUUUUAAAGCACCAUCAUUUCAAAUCAGUGCGCUCUUAAACUAUUGACAGGAGCUUUGACAACAAGACAGGAUGCCUCAUAAAGGCCCCACGUUUAUGAGUUGUGCGUGAAAUAUGUGAGGAAACUGUGUCUGAAGGAGUGGGUUUCCCGUUCGGUGUGUGUCUAUGCAGACGUGUUUGGUGUAUUAAAGGGAUGGCUUCACGUUCAGUCCAGCUG
This is a non-coding RNA of Phalacrocorax carbo (great cormorant), 495 nucleotides long. The record is from RefSeq and is a predicted model, not a curated record. Lineage: Eukaryota; Metazoa; Chordata; Aves; Suliformes; Phalacrocoracidae.